Molecule: ribosomal RNA, 358 nt
Filed under: Tetragnatha sp.
Lineage: Eukaryota; Metazoa; Arthropoda; Arachnida; Araneae; Tetragnathidae
Description: partial large subunit ribosomal RNA
Source: RNAcentral
AAUCAUUAGCCUCUUAAUUAGAGGCUAGAAUGAACGGUUUAACAUUUCCUAAACUUUUUUAAAAAUUUUAAACAAAUUUAUACUAAAUAUAAAAAUAUAUUUAUACACUAACUAGACGACAAGACCCUUUCAAACUUUACUGAAGUUUAGCUGGGGUAGCUCAAUAAUUAAUAUCUUAUUAUUUUUUUAAUAAAAAGACCCAAUUCAAAUUGAUUUAAUGAAUAAGUUACUGAAGGGAUAACAGCAUAAUAAAUUUAUAUAGCUCUUAUUUAAAAAUUAGUUUAUGACCUCGAUGUUGAAUUAUUUUACUUCUUCACGCAAGAGUAAAGAAAGUAGGUCUGUUCGACCUUUAAAUUUU